CUCCAUAAAAGAACACGUAAUUAGCACGUCUCAAACACAUGUAAGUUCUAGGGAAGAUAGAGUCUUAAAAAACUGGAGUAUAAAUUAAAACAGAAGUGGGAGAGUUUGCAGAAAAAGAACGUAGGAGAGAAACGUUCAGAAUUUAAAAGAGGCAGUAUACGUUUUUGGAAAUUUGCAGAAGUCAUUUAGAAACAUUUAGAAUGCCUAGUAAAAUAGUUUUGGUCAGGCGUAGAAAAGGAACAAACGUGAAAGCAUUUUUUAUUGAGAUUGCUGAAGUGCAAAGAAAAACGGUAAACAUACAUGAUUUUUGAGCUUUUGAAAACUAGUACCCAGAUAGUUGAAAUAGUGUUCCAAACCUGGACAAGAAAAUACUGUAGAAACCGUUUGCAUGGAUGGUUUAAAAUGUGUCAGAAGUUUGUAAAAAAAAGAAGAGGUCUUCAGAAAAUAAACGAAU
Molecule: long non-coding RNA, 454 nt
Filed under: Nicotiana benthamiana
Lineage: Eukaryota; Viridiplantae; Streptophyta; Magnoliopsida; Solanales; Solanaceae
Description: long non-coding RNA (NBEN_LNC014713)
Source: RNAcentral